Non-coding RNA from Pelobates cultripes (western spadefoot toad), 244 nucleotides. Lineage: Eukaryota; Metazoa; Chordata; Amphibia; Anura; Pelobatidae. The record is from the annotation of a GenBank genome assembly.
CGAUGAUAUCGCCAGUAAAAGUGACGUUUUUUGCAUUUUUCACGCACAAACAGCAUUACACGGACAAUAUUAUUGCUGUGAUACUUUUUACUGUUUUGAAGUCUCCCGAGUACAACAGUACCCCUCAUGUACAGGUUUUGUGGUGUUUUCAAAAGUUACAGCGUCAAAUAUAAGGCUUGCGUUUCAUUUUUUUCACAUUAAAAUUUGCCAGAUUGGUUAUGUUGCCUUUGAGACCCUAUGGUAG